GCCUGGGUGGCUCAGUCGGUUAAGCAUCUGACUUCAGCUCAGGUCAUGAUCUCGCAGCUGGUGAGUUCAAGCCCCACAUCAGGCU
This 85-nucleotide transfer RNA is filed under the name Felis catus (domestic cat). It matches the Rfam family "tRNA". Rfam says of the family: Transfer RNA (tRNA) molecules are approximately 80 nucleotides in length. Their secondary structure includes four short double-helical elements and three loops (D, anti-codon, and T loops). The record is from Rfam by way of RNAcentral. Lineage: Eukaryota; Metazoa; Chordata; Mammalia; Carnivora; Felidae.